GGGCCGGUGGUCUAGCCAGGACAUGACGCGGGCCUCCGGAGCCCGAGGUCGCGGGUUCGAAUCCCGCCCGGCCCG
Molecule: transfer RNA, 75 nt
Filed under: Hadesarchaea archaeon YNP_N21
Lineage: Archaea; Methanobacteriati; Hadarchaeota (SeqCode); Hadarchaeia (SeqCode)
Description: tRNA-Arg
Rfam family: tRNA
About the family: Transfer RNA (tRNA) molecules are approximately 80 nucleotides in length.
Source: RNAcentral